Molecule: ribosomal RNA, 500 nt
Filed under: uncultured bacterium
Lineage: Bacteria
Description: partial 16S ribosomal RNA
Rfam family: Bacterial small subunit ribosomal RNA
Source: RNAcentral
AUUGAACGCUGGCGGCAUGCCUUACACAUGCAAGUCGAACGGCAGCACGGGAGCAAUCCUGGUGGCGAGUGGCGAACGGGUGAGUAAAGUAUCGGAACGUGCCCAGUCGUGGGGGAUAACGUAGCGAAAGUUACGCUAAUACCGCAUACGAUCUACAAAUGAAAGCGGGGGAUCGCAAGACCUCGCGCGAUUGGAGCGGCUGAUAUCAGAUUAGGUAGUUGGUGGGGUAAAGGCUCACCAAGCCGACGAUCUGUAGCUGGUCUGAGAGGACGACCAGCCACACUGGGACUGAGACACGGCCCAGACUCCUACGGGAGGCAGCAGUGGGGAAUUUUGGACAAUGGGCGCAAGCCUGAUCCAGCCAUGCCGCGUGCAGGAUGAAGGCCUUCGGGUUGUAAACUGCUUUUGUACGGAACGAAAAGGUUUGGCCUAAUAAGCUGGACCCAUGACGGUACCGUAAGAAUAAGCACCGGCUAACUACGUGCCAGCCGCCGCGGUAA